CAACUUUUGAACGGUGG
RNAcentral lists this ribosomal RNA (17 nucleotides) under Stylophora pistillata. RNAcentral describes it as "partial 5.8S ribosomal RNA". The record is from RNAcentral. Lineage: Eukaryota; Metazoa; Cnidaria; Anthozoa; Scleractinia; Pocilloporidae.